CCUACGUGAGGUAGCAGUGAGGAAUAUUGGUCAAUGGGCGCGAGCCUGAACCAGCCAAGUAGCGUGAAGGAUGACUGCCCUACGGGUUGUAAACUUCUUUUAUAAAGGAAUAAAGUGAGGCACGUGUGCCUUUUUGUAUGUACUUUAUGAAUAAGGAUCGGCUAACUCCGUGCCAGCAGCCGCGGUAAUACGGAGGAUCCGAGCGUUAUCCGGAUUUAUUGGGUUUAAAGGGAGCGUAGAUGGGUUGUUAAGUCAGUUGUGAAAGUUUGCGGCUCAACCGUAAAAUUGCAAUUGAUACUGGCAGUCUUGAGUACAGUUGAGGUAGGCGGAAUUCGUGGUGUAGCGGUGAAAUGCUUAGAUAUCACGAAGAACUCCGAUUGCGAAGGCAUCUUACUAAACUGCCACUGACAUUGAUGCUCGAAAGUGUGGGUAUCAAACAGGAUUAGAUACUCCGGUAGUC
This 460-nucleotide ribosomal RNA is filed under the name uncultured bacterium. RNAcentral's name for it is "partial 16S ribosomal RNA". It matches the Rfam family "Bacterial small subunit ribosomal RNA", at positions 338 to 795 of the family's 1533-position model. The record is from RNAcentral.